UUUAAAUAAAGCCCUCACAAUCGGACCUUAAUCUAUUAUAUUGCGAUUAGAACGUCCAUGAACUACAAUUUAAUACUAUAGUUAAUACAACUGUUAUACAAAUGUUGAAUGAGAUAUGUUUGAUAUGCCAAAAACAAAUAAAAUAUAGUAUCAUAAUUAAACUACAAAAAAUGCCAUAAUAAAUGGAACAACCAUUGACUUUGGUUUUAUAAAUUAGCAUGUGAUGAGUAAGUUGUUAAUUGAACUAGCAAGAGAAAUGGCUUCAAAGAAGAGUUUUCUUAUUUGGGUUGUUCUCUUUUUGUGUAUGAUGAGUUUCUCUGCCAAGGCAAUAAUAGCAAGGAACAUUAUUGGUGGGUCUAAAAUUUAUGAAGUUUCAGAUAAAAUGGGUCAAAACAGAAAACUCCUUGAGGCAGAUGAGAGAUGUAAGAGAGGAAGAAUUACAAUUGGGCUUAAUCAAAGUCACGAAGGCAAGCCAGAAAAUAAUCCACGUUGCCACAAUUAUCUUUGAUCUCGAUGUUUAGUUCAUGUAAUUUUUGUGAUUUAAAGUUAAUGUAAUUUGUGUUAGUAUAAUAUUUCUAAUUAUGUAUUUUUUUUAAAUAUAUAAUUAUGUAUUUGAAAACAAUAAAUUGAAAAGUUGGAAUAAUUUGGAAAAAUAUAUAAACCUUGGAGAUCCCUCGUUUUUUCAGAAAUAGUACAAUUUUAUUAAUAUAUUA
Cicer arietinum (chickpea) is the source of this 713-nucleotide long non-coding RNA. RefSeq lists it as uncharacterized. The record is from RefSeq and is a predicted model, not a curated record. NCBI's taxonomy places the organism in Eukaryota, Viridiplantae, Streptophyta, Magnoliopsida, Fabales, Fabaceae.